This 447-nucleotide ribosomal RNA is filed under the name uncultured bacterium. RNAcentral describes it as "partial 16S ribosomal RNA". It matches the Rfam family "Bacterial small subunit ribosomal RNA", at positions 338 to 795 of the family's 1533-position model. The record is from RNAcentral.
CCUACGGGAGGCAGCAGUGGGGAAUCUUGCGCAAUGGGCGGAAGCCUGACGCAGCGACGCCGCGUGCGGGACGAAGGCCUUCGGGUCGUAAACCGCUUUCAGCAGGGACGAGGCCCUCACGGUGACGGUACCUGCAGAAGAAGCCCCGGCUAACUACGCGCCAGAAGCCGCGGCAAUACGUAGGGGGCGAGCGUUAUUCGGGUUCAUUGGGGGGAAUGCGCGCGUUGGCGGCCGUUUAGGUCGGGGGUAAAAUACAGGGGCUCAACCCCGGGCCGACCCCGAUAACGGCAGGCUUGAGUGUGGUAGGGGAAGGCGGAAUUCCCGGUGUAGCGGUGUAAUGCGCAGAUAUUGGGAAGAACACCGGCGGCGAAGGCGGCCUUCUGGGCCACGACUGACGCUGAGGCGCGAAAGCUAGGGGAGCGAACAGGAUUAGAUACCCUUGUAGUC